GCCGGUGCCGCCUCUCUCUCCAGGUCCCCAGUUAAAGCAAUAUUUUAACAAAAGAGAUUUUUCUUUUUUUUCUUUUUUUUUUUCCAAGUUCGAAAGAACCCGUGUUGGGUGGGUGGCGGAGGGAGUCUGUAGGGUAACAGGCGCCUUCUCAGACUGGGAGCUGAGCACCUGGGGGUUUGCACCGGGACGCCGACUGCAGCUCGGGGGCAGGAUUCAGACGGGGGGGGGGGCGGGGAGGGGGAAGGAGCGAAGGCUCGGGGGGCUCGGCUGGGGGCGCGGCGCGGGGUAGCCGGGUCCGCCAGGCUCCGAUUCCGAGGGGCCAGGACCGUGCCCACCCUCCUCCCGGGCUCCACCCCGGCGCCAAGCCGCUUGCGGGGCCGAGCGCGCGGGGCCGGCCGUCCCGCGUCCCCGGCCGAGCGCCGCGCAACCCGACCGGCACACCGAGCGCGCUCACCGAUCUUGGCUUGCUCGCGGUAGCUCUUCUCGUUGAGGCAAACCCCGCGGCCGUGCAGCAGGGCGUGCAGCGGCUUCUCCUCGUCCUGCCGGGGGAGGCAGCGCAGCCCCUGGGCGCAGCGCUCCGUGUAGACGCCGCACGACUGCCCCUCGGCCAGGGCGCAAGUCAUGCAGCAACCGCAGCCGGGCUCUUUGACCAGCUCGCAGCCCAGGGGGCUGGGGGGGCACAUGGAGAGGGCUUUCUCGUCGCAGGGCUCGCAGUGCACGAAGGAGCCCAGGCCCUGGGCCGGCCCCGCACAGGAGGCCAGCAGCAGGAGGACCGCGAGGAGCAUCUGAAGUGGGGUCCCCUCCCAAGAAGGAGCCUUGCUGCUUUCUCCUCCCUUCACCUGUCUUCUCCAGAGCAAAUCAUGCUUCCCUCGGGAGAGCUGAAAAGAGCAUGGAUUUUAAGCAGUGUGGCCUUCAGCAAGUUGCUGUGA
This 929-nucleotide long non-coding RNA is filed under the name Canis lupus familiaris (dog). RNAcentral describes it as "lncRNA (ENSCAFG00000058674.1)". The record is from RNAcentral. Lineage: Eukaryota; Metazoa; Chordata; Mammalia; Carnivora; Canidae.